This 438-nucleotide ribosomal RNA is filed under the name uncultured bacterium. RNAcentral describes it as "partial 16S ribosomal RNA". It matches the Rfam family "Bacterial small subunit ribosomal RNA", at positions 339 to 795 of the family's 1533-position model. The record is from RNAcentral.
CUACGGACGCUGCAGUGGGGAAUCUUAGACAAUGGGCGCAAGCCUGAUCUAGCCAUGCCGCGUGAGUGACAAAGGCCUUAGGGUCGUAAAGCUCUUUCGCUGGGGAAGAUAAUGACGGUACCCAGUAAAGAAACCCCGGCUAACUCCGUGCCAGCAGCCGCGGUAAUACGGAGGGGGUUAGCGUUGUUCGGAAUUACUGGGCGUAAAGCGCGCGUAGGCGGAUCAGAAAGUUGGGGGUGAAAUCCCGGGGCUCAACCCCGGAACUGCCUUCAAAACUCCUGGUCUUGAGUUCGAGAGAGGUGAGUGGAAUUCCGAGUGUAGAGGUGAAAUUCGUAGAUAUUCGGAGGAACACCAGUGGCGAAGGCGGCUCACUGGCUCGAUACUGACGCUGAGGUGCGAAAGCGUGGGGAGCAAACAGGAUUAGAUACCCCCGUAGUC